GCUUUGAUCCUGGCUCAGGAUGAACGCUAGCGCCAGGCUUAACACAUGCAAGUCGAGCCGUAGGGAAAGCUUGCUUUUCUGAUACCGGCGCACGGGUGCGUAACGCGUAUGCAAUCUACCAAUCACAAAGGGAUAGCCCAGAGAAAUUUGGAUUAAUACCUUAUAGUAUUAUAGAAUGGCAUCAUUUUAUAAUUAAAGAUUUAUCGGUGAAAGAUGAGCAUGCGUCCCAUUAGCUAUUCCUAUGGUAACGGCAUACCAAGGCUACGAUGGGUAGGGGUCCUGAGAGGGAGAUCCCCCACACUGGUACUGAGACACGGACCAGACUCCUGGCAGCAGUGACAGGAAUAUUGGACAAUGGGCGCAAGCCUGAUCCAGCCAUGCCGCGUGCAGGAUGACGGUCCUAUGGAUUGUAAACUGCUUUUAUACAGGACCAGACACCUCUACGUGUAGAGACUUGACGGUACUGUAAGAAUAAGGAUCGGCUAACUCCGUGCCAGCAGGGGCGGUAAUACGGAGGAUCCAAGCGUUAUCCGGAAUCAUUGGGUUUAAAGGGUCCGUAGGCGGUCAGAUAAGUCAGUGGUGAAAGCCCAUCGCUGGCGGUGGAACGGCCAUUGAUACUGUCUGACUUGAAUUAUUAGGAAGUAACUAGAAUAUGUAGUGUAGCGGUGAAAUGCAAAGAGAUUACAUGGAAUACCAAUUGCGAAGGCAGGUUACUACUAAUUGAUUGACGCUGAGGGACGAAAGCGUGGGUAGCCUUCAGGAUUAGAUACCCUGGUAGUCCACGCCGUAAACGAUGGAUACUAGCUGUUGGGAGCAAUCUCAGUGGCUAAAGUGAUAAGUAUCCCACCUGGGGAGUACGAACGCAAGUUUGAAACUCAAAGGAACAAACGGGGGCCCGCACAAGCGGUGGAGCAUCCAGUUUAAUUCGAUGAUACGCGAGGACCUUACCAAGGCUUAAAUGUAGUUUGACCGGUUGGAAACAGUCUAACGCAAGACAAAUUACAAGGUGCUGCAUGGUUGUCCAUCACCACGUGCCGUGAGGUGUCAGGUUAAGUCCUAUAACGAGCGCAACGGCUGUUGUUAGUUGCCAGCGAGUCAUGUCGGGAACCCUAACGAGACUGCCAGUGCAAACUGUGAGGUUGGUGGGGAUGACGUCAAAUCAUCGCGGCCCUUACGCCUUGGGCUACACACGUGCUACAAUGGCCGGUACAGAGAGCAGCCACUGGGCGACCACCAGCGAAUCUACAAAACCGGUCACAGUUCGGAUCGGAGUCUGCAACUCGACUCCGUGAAGCUGGAAUCGCUAGUAAUCGGAUAUCAGCCAUGAUCCGGUGAUACGUUCGGGGGCCUUGUACACACCGCCCGUCAAGCCAUGGAAGCUGGGGUGCCUGAAAUCGUCGGUGACCGCAAGGAGCUGCCUAGGGUAAAACUGGUAACUAGGGCUAAGUCUGCACAAGUAGCCGUACCGGAAGUGCGGCUGGAUCACCUCCUUAGAGACGAUCCUGGCAUCGA
This 1512-nucleotide ribosomal RNA is filed under the name uncultured Flavobacterium sp. Its description in RNAcentral is "bacterial SSU rRNA". It matches the Rfam family "Bacterial small subunit ribosomal RNA". Lineage: Bacteria; Pseudomonadati; Bacteroidota; Flavobacteriia; Flavobacteriales; Flavobacteriaceae. The record is from RNAcentral.